RNAcentral lists this long non-coding RNA (1831 nucleotides) under Medicago truncatula (barrel medic). Its description in RNAcentral is "lncRNA gene43761". Lineage: Eukaryota; Viridiplantae; Streptophyta; Magnoliopsida; Fabales; Fabaceae. The record is from RNAcentral.
GGGCUGUGGAAGUUGAGAUCAAUAAAGCCAUUAGCAAAGUAUAAAAACAUAACUAGCAAAGUAUAACCAAAGUGUUUCCGCAACAAAAUCAUAACAAAAACAGCAAAACACCAUUUAGAACAGGGACUAUUAUAAAUUCAUACACCUGAUAACUGAAAAAUUAAACAAUGUCUUAAACCAACAAAAAGACUCGUCAAAACUACUUUAGAACAGCAACUGAGGAUGUCAGCCCAACAAUUCUGCCAAGCAAUCUCAGACUGCAGCGGCCUUCUUUGAUUUCUUUUGCGGUCUGCACAAAAGAUAUUCGUUUAAACAAUCAUGCAUAGCAGGGGGGAAGGUAGUAAAAUACAUUGUAAGAAUAAAUUAUAAUACUCACUGGGUCUGGGUUGGCUUUGUUGCAGCAACAGGUGCAGCACUAGGAGCUUCUGCUGGCUUCUCUCCUCCAGGACCCUAAAUAUUUUACAAAGAAAAGGCAAAAUCUCCAUUAAUAAUUUCAAAAAGAAUGCUUGUUAAUAUACUAAAUCCUCAAAUCAUAUACAUUAAUACUGUCAAAGAAUUUCAAGAAAUCAUAGGUUAACUCACUUGAGCAAAACGCUCCUCCCUCCUAGCAUGCUUCCUCUCACGGCUGGCCUUGUUCUUGGCACGUUUGGCCUCAAACUGGUCAGACAAGGUCUUUUCUCUAGCCUUCUCAGCUUUGGACUUGUGAAUGCUCUCCAUCAGAACUCUCUUAUUCUUAAACACAUUACCCUUAACCUUCAUGUACAUGUCAUGGUACAUGUGCUUGUCAAUCUUCUUAGCCUCACGGUACUUGCGGAGCAAACGUCUGAGAACACGCAUUCUCCUCAUCCAAAGGAUCUUUGUGGGAAGCCUUGCCUCUCUGGUACCCUUCCUCUUACCUAUGCACAUUCAGACAAACACAACAAACAAUCACUCAUUAUAUCUCUAGAUGAUCAGACAGGAACUCAAUUUGAGCCAGUCCACAAAUGUAAAUUCAGUAUUUCUCAUAUUUUACAAAACAACAAGGCUUAAUAUCCAAUUGAUGAGCAACUCACAUCUUAGUAAUUUAAUGACGAAAAAUAACUGUUAAUGAUACUUAAAUGAUACAUUUUGUUGUUUAAAGGCUAUUUUUCGAUUAUUAGAUAGAAACUAAUGAAUCUAAGACAAUGGCUUUAGAACACAAAAGAGAGAUAAAUACAAAUGAUAAUUUUUUAUGAUAAUCAUAAACAAACACAGUAAGCUACUGAAUUUCUUACAAAUCACUAAAACAGUAAAUUAUUUUAGAUCAAAUAAAUUUUAUUUUAAGGACAGAUUCUUAAAUACAAAAUCACUUGUUAGAAUUAUAAGCAAACAAAAUGGCUACGAAUUUCUUAUAAAUCUCUAAACUAAAAUCAUUUUAUAUGAAAAUUACUUAGUUUUAGUGUAUAACAAAACAUAACAAGAAUUGAUAUAAAAUGAAGCUAAUCAAGGUUAUGGGGAAUGAAAAUACCAUAUCCAGAGUGUCUUCCUUUCCUCUUAGCUUCCUUCAUUCUACGAGCACGGGACCUGGAGUGAAUCUUGGUGGGUUUCCUGAUUAUAAACCCAUCCUUAACCAGCUUCCUUAUGUUUUGGCCUGCAAAAUCAAAAUCCAAUCAUAAAUCUUAAACAGUACUUUCAAUUUGGAUCUAAACAAAUAACGAAUCGAAAUAGCUUACGAGAAUUAGCCAUGGAGAUUUCGUUAACUUCAUUUGGAUCAAGCCAAACUUUGCCACGACCGCACUUAAGAACGCUGGAAGCGAGGCGCUUUUGCAAUUUGAGGGAGACCAUGUUUGGGUUGGUUGCUUGUUUCUGACUG